Panicum virgatum (switchgrass) is the source of this 1089-nucleotide long non-coding RNA. RefSeq lists it as uncharacterized. The transcript is spliced from 2 exons. NCBI's taxonomy places the organism in Eukaryota, Viridiplantae, Streptophyta, Magnoliopsida, Poales, Poaceae. The record is from RefSeq and is a predicted model, not a curated record.
AUGCCUAAAAGUUUGUUCAAAAUUUCUCUAACAACAAUUUCACUGAAAAGAUAUUCUAAAAAAAUUGAACAUACAAACUAUACACAAAAGUUAUAUACACAACUAUAAAACUUUCUAAAAAUAAAAAAAUUAUGAAAAAUAAUUCUUUCCAAAAAAAAGGAAAGUUCGAUUUUGUCGGAGAUCGAUCGCUAGGAAGGCUCCUGACGCGCGCUGGCGAAUCAGAAUCCCCUGCUUUCACCAUUGCCGCGUCGUCUCCGCUGAUCCCGCGAAAUGCCCGGGAAAUCUAUCAGCCCCAGCCGGCCGGACAAAUUAACAACGCUUCCAAGUUAAGCAAGCUCGGUAUGUACAGCCAUUGCCGUGAGGAUAGAUUGUGCUCCGAUCCCUCGUCGCCAAUCUUGAAUCUUCCACGCGGCGAGGCAGGUGUAUACGCGUACGCGACGCGGUGUGUAAAAUUUUCAAAGCCGCGGCUUCGUGAAUGAUAGGUACAUCCCGAUCAAGCCCCCCAAUUGUUGCUGGUGAUAACCGUACGUGAUUGUUUACCCAGCACACCUCGCCGCUGAAAGUCUGAAUCGCGCACAAGAACGCGGUGCGGCCGCGGCGUGUGAAGGAACUUUCGCUGUAAAUCGGCAGGGCCUGUGCUACGGCCGGCUGGCCUCAAAACGGCCAAACCAUUCGCGCGUCGCUCCAGUUGGAAACUACGCCGGCCUGCAGUGAUACUUCAGAAAUGAGAAGCAUCAGCAGCGUCGGCAUCGUGCAACUGGGCACUCGCAGCCUUCCGCAGCUCUGCGCCGGAAAUCUAGUUUUGCGACCGACAGACAGGUUCGAAACCGGCGACCGACGAUGGACACGUGGGUGGGUCCUGCUUCCCACGUCAGGAGCCCCAGCGUGCUUGCAGCUGGCAGCGUCCGGCAGAGGUCGAGCGAUUGGUGGACGCAGAGCUCCAGCCAGCCAUGACGUCCGACAAUUUUCUCUUUGGAUAAGUUAUAAACAUAACUUUUCUUUUUUUAGAUAAGUUUUGUUUUUCUUGCAUAAUUUGUAUGUAUAGCUAUUUAUAGGAAAACUUACAUAUAUAAUUUUUUGUUGCGGAAA